GAUGGUAAAAUUAUUCUUAGUGUAAGGAAACAGACCUUGACUUUUCAACUACACAGCUGGUUGCUUUGACAGCGUUCCAAGCCGCCAUUUGGCCAAACGAGUUUUUGAAGUAAAUCAAAGCAAAUUAAAGUAAGCAAGGCGUGCAAAGCAAGCCGGCAUUGGGCCAGCGCCUUUACACUCAUAGCACACAUCAGACAAAAAGAAAUAAAAAAAUGGAAGAAAAGCUCAUAGAGGAAACUAAAUUGCACCCGUGUCUUUUUGACAAAAACUGUCAUCUUUUUAGAAAUAAAAUGAUGACGGAGCGAGCGUGGCAGGCAGCAGCGAUUUCCACGGGAGCGUCAGUGGAACAAAGUAAGCUACGCUGGAAAUCACAGAGCGAUAGAUUUGUGCGUGAGGUGGCGACACAAAAGUCCAAUGCGGGGUCCGCUGCAGACGAAAACACAGAAUGGUGCUACCUAAAGUCCACGCAGUUUCCAAUGAAACACGGUGCUACU
Long non-coding RNA from Rhagoletis pomonella (apple maggot), 494 nucleotides. RefSeq lists it as uncharacterized. The transcript has 3 exons. Lineage: Eukaryota; Metazoa; Arthropoda; Insecta; Diptera; Tephritidae. The record is from RefSeq and is a predicted model, not a curated record.